RNAcentral lists this long non-coding RNA (294 nucleotides) under Setaria italica (foxtail millet). RNAcentral describes it as "long non-coding RNA (SITA_LNC000158)". Lineage: Eukaryota; Viridiplantae; Streptophyta; Magnoliopsida; Poales; Poaceae. The record is from RNAcentral.
AUAAGGUAUAGGAAAGAAGGCAAUUCUUUCUUUUUUUUCAUUUUUGAUCUAUAAAUUGAGUUGUUAAUGAAUCCGCUUCAUUCGCCGACUCUAUUUCAUUCGCUGAAUAUAUAUGAUAUUUCUUUUCUUUGAAACACAAAUUCUAUAACAAGGUUUGAGACCUUGUGUUUGUAUCUAUUUAUCUUUUUUAUACUAGUGGAAUUUCAUUGUAUUGGGUUCUUUCUUAGAUCUAAAUGGAGUGGAAUAGCCAAAUAAAAAAAAGGCCUUUCAUAUAAAAAUGUAAGAAUAUUAUGC